This 64-nucleotide transfer RNA is filed under the name Triatoma dimidiata (kissing bug). RNAcentral describes it as "tRNA-Glu". It matches the Rfam family "tRNA". Rfam says of the family: Transfer RNA (tRNA) molecules are approximately 80 nucleotides in length. The record is from RNAcentral. Lineage: Eukaryota; Metazoa; Arthropoda; Insecta; Hemiptera; Reduviidae.
AUUUAUAUAGUUUAAAUUAAAACAUUUCAUUUUCAAUGAAAAAAGGGAUACUCUCCUAUAAAUU